Molecule: non-coding RNA, 1551 nt
Organism: Rattus norvegicus (Norway rat)
Lineage: Eukaryota; Metazoa; Chordata; Mammalia; Rodentia; Muridae
Source: RefSeq, a predicted model, not a curated record
UUAACUGCUCCUGAACUGGGUUCAAAGUUACCAAACAGCCCAGCCAGAAGAAGCAAAAGGGCACUUUAGACCAUGGCACAAGCAAUCAAUUGCACCCACCCUUAUCAAGGACUCCUCCCUCACCCCUCUCUUUUUUUUAAUGUUCCUCUUUCCCUCCCUCCUCCUGCCUCCAUUGGCAUAGACUGCACAAUAGUUUUAUCACCCCUCCCCCCGUUAAGAAACAUUCAUUCUUUCUUAGUCUUCGCUUCCCUUCUUCCCCUUCGUGUUCCCCUCUUUCUCUUCCCUCCCUUCCCCUCCCUUCCCCUCCCUUCCCCUCCCUUUCUCUCUCUUCUCUCUCUCUCUCUCUCUCUCUCUCUCUCUCUCUCUCUCUCUCUCUCUCUCUCCUUCUGGAGUGUGUGUGUGUGUGUGUGUGUGUGUGUGUGUGUGUGUGAGUGUGUGUGUGUGUGUGUCCUUCUGGAGAUGCAGUUACAGGCGUCUGUAAGCGUGUGUGCCCCUCAUCCCCGGAACUGAACUCCGGUCCUCAAAAACAGCAGCCGGUACCCUUAACUGUUGUCAUUCAUUGGCAGUGGUAGAAAGUUCUGGAACUUAAUCAGUGGUGACCAUGCUUCAGCCUCUGGAAGACCUGGACUCCAAGCACCUGAUUUUAUGAAAAGCUGUCUAGGAGGUAGGCCCUGGCCUCCUCCAGUGUGGCUGUGGUGACCCUCCCUGCAGCUGUGAUCCCCCCACCCUGCAGCUGUGGUCCUCCCCUGCAGCUGAGUUGUUCCCCCUGCAGCUGUGAUCCCCCCACCCUGCAGCUGUGGUCCUCCCCUGCAGCUGAGUUGUUCCCCCUGCAGCUGUGAUCCUCCCUGCAGCUGUGAUCCCACUUGCAGCUGUGGUCCUCCCCUGCAGCUGUGAUGUUCCUCCUGCAGCUGUGAUCCCCCCACCCUGCAGCUGUGGUCCUCCCCUGCAGCUGAGUUGUUCCCCCUGCAGCUGUGAUCCUCCCUGCAGCUGUGAUCCCACUUGCAGCUGUGGUCCUCCCCUGCAGCUGUGAUCCCACUUGCAGCUGUGGUCCUCCCCUGCAGCUGUGAUGUUCCUCCUGCAGCUGUGAUCCCCCCACCCUGCAGCUGUGGUCCUCCCCUGCAGCUGAGUUGUUCCCCCUGCAGCUGUGAUCCUCCCUGCAGCUGUGAUCCCACUUGCAGCUGUGGUCCUCCCCUGCAGCUGUGAUCCCACUUGCAGCUGUGGUCCUCCCCUGCAGCUGUGAUGUUCCUCCUGCAGCUGUGAUCCCCCCACCCUGCAGCUGUGGUCCUCCCCUGCAGCUGAGUUGUUCCCCCUGCAGCUGUGGUCCUCUCCCUGAAGCUCUCCCAAGGCGACUCUGGCUAUCUCAGUGCAGCAGCAGGAAGAAAUGGCACAGAGUUGCUGUGGUGGUGGGCGUUGUGUCGUUCCCCUGAAGGGAGGGGAGGUGUGAAGUACAGCUGACUGGGGACGAUGAACAAAUCAUGAAAACUCAGACUUGUGGCCACAUCACAGCUCAUCUGAGUGUAAAGUCAGAAAUAUAACGGGACUGCAAUUAUA